This 7085-nucleotide long non-coding RNA is filed under the name Nicotiana tabacum (common tobacco). Its description in RNAcentral is "long non-coding RNA (NTAB_LNC004357)". The record is from RNAcentral. Lineage: Eukaryota; Viridiplantae; Streptophyta; Magnoliopsida; Solanales; Solanaceae.
AGAGAUUGAUCAUCAAGCGCAUAGUUCUUCAACAAAGGAGUGGUCAAUGGAGUUCUCCCCAGAGAUCAACCCGAAAUAACGAAGUGUUGCUCGACAUUCUUGGCGAUUAAAUACAACACAAGGAGGUUGCAUCGUCCUACAUUCAAGAAAGUCUCUUCUCAAACCCUUGAAUCGCGUAGAAUUUCAGAGAAGAGAAUCAAGGGAUACAUAAAAUUAUACUCACAAAUAUUUAUCAAAAAAUCUCUUUUUCUUCAUAUUCUUUUUUUGUUAUUUUCUAUACUAUUGCAAUAAAUUUUGGUACGUCUAGUGGGAUCAGUUAUUCCCUACAUCUCUUCCUCUUGCAAGUUAAAAACAAGAAACAUCAGAUCUACUACUGCAAAAGGCCUUCCGAAAGUGUGAUGAUGUUCUAUGCAAGGACACUACCACUAUUGCAUCUAUUGAUCUCAGUCAUGGCCCCAUCACUCGAAGCAAGUUCAAGUCUAGUGGCUUGGAUAGAUCCGAAUACUUUACCUCUUUGGGGAUGAUAACGAAGAGCAAAUAUCACAUGGGGAUCGCAACCGCAAUCAUUUGACGAACUUUCUCAAACAACUUCCUACCUUGGCGAAUUUGAGGAUUUGGUGGAUUCUCCAAUUUCAACAAAAGUCAAUGCCUUAAGACUGAUGCAACUAACGUGGACGAAAAGUUUGCGAUGAUGGAGCAGACUACAGAAUUCUUGAAGAAAUCUGUUGAAGAUAAUGACCUUCAAAUCGCUCAACUCAUGCACAAAUUGGAGGCCUAUGCACCUGGAGAGUCGAGCCACGUCCCUGCUUGUUCACCUGGUUUCACCUUGCAAAAAAUGGUUGUUGGGGAAUCGCUUGUCAAGUUAAACAUCACAAGGAAAAGUAAUUCACUUCAUUUUCGGCGUUAUCUAUCCAACAAUUGCAAGACAUGAUAACAAACAAUAUCAGAGCUUAAUAUGGCGGACCAUUACAAAGUUCCUUGUAUUACUCUAAGCCUUAUACUAAACAGAUUGAUUGGAUAACAAUGCCAGCCAAUUAUCAACCAAUAAAGGUACAUCAAUUUGAUGGCAGAGGAAACCAUGGCAACAUAGCGCCCACUUUGUCAAGACUUGUAGCAGCAAUAGAACACAUGGUAAUCUUUUGGUAAAAAAGUUUGUUCGUUGGUUGAAAGGGAAAGCAUUUGACUGGUACAUCGACUUUGAGCCCGAGUCUAUUGAUAGCUGGGAGCAACUUGAGAAGUAAUUCUUCUAUCGUUUUUAUAAUACCCGUAUAACAGUAAGCAUGAUAGAGUUGACAGGCACCAAGCAAAGGAAGGACAAGCCCUUAGUGGAUUACAUCAACGGUUGGACAACGUUAAGUUUGAACUGCAAGGUUCGCCUUUUAGAAAUAUCCGGUGUAGAGAUGUGUAUUCAAGAAAUGCACUGGGGCCUUUUGUACAUCCUACAAGGGAUCAAACCGCGAAUUUUCGAAGAACUUACAAUACGACAUGGAGUUGAGCAUCGCAAGUCAUGGAAAGGCAUCCACAUUUGAUGAUGAAAAGGAGUUCAAGAAAAGUGUUACAUCAAAGAACCAAACUAAAGAAUCUAUGGCGGUGAAAGCAACUUCGGUGAAAUUCACGACUAGUGGUGGCAAAAUAGUUAAAAGAAAAUAUUUAUCCACUCAGAUUAUCCAUUAAAAAGAGAUUGGAUAAUAGACUUUUUAAAAAUAGGUCAAAUAUGGAUAAUAACCAUAUUGUCCACUUAAAAAUGGAUAAUCAUUGGAUUUAACUUUUACAUUUGUAAAGCCUCAAAUUGAGGGUUCCUCAAAUUUGGGAGACUAGGAUUCUCCCAAAAGUGAUCAUAUUCAAGAAAACACGGUUAAUAUGGAUAUCCAUAUUAUCUGUCGGUUAACCUAUUUUUUAUCCGUAUUAAAUAUUGGUCUAGUCAAAUAAUUUAUCAUUUUUGUAUUACCCAUUUUUGACCUGCCCAUAUCCGACUCGACACACCUGUUUGCCACCCCUAGUCAUGACCCAGUAAAAAGUGAAAGAGGAGAAGACGUCGAGUCAACGUUUGAAAGAGGAGAAACAUCGUCUAACCUUGAACGAAUUAGAGGUGAAGGUUUAUCCAUUUUCAUAUUCAGACGUACCAACAAUCCUUGAUGAAUUGCUAGCCAAGAAAGUCAUCGAUCUCCCUGAAUCAAAGAGGCUUGAGGAAACUGGCAAAGUCGGCAAUCUGAAAUGCUACAAGUUUCAUCACAUCAUUGGUCACCCUAUAGAGAAAUGCUUCGUCUCGAAGGAAAAAAUCAUUGCUAGUAAGUAAAGGAAAAAUCAUCAUAGACAUGGAUGAAACAGCGAAAGUAAAUCAUGCAAGUUCAACCUAUUGUUGCUAUGAAGCUUGAGGAGAGGCUCGCGAUGUCACUCGAUUAGCUUAGGAGACUGGAUAAGUUCAGGAAGUUGCAUCCUUGUCACAUCAAUGGUACAACUUCAGUGGAUGCCCAAGGGUUUUUGGACUAUUGUCAUGAGAUUCUGUUAAUUUGGAACUAGUCGAGUCCAAUAGAGUUGACUUCACCACCUUCCAAAUGCAGGCUCUAGCCAAGAGUUGGUAGUAGGUUUUAGAGUUGGGAAUACCAGGAGGAUCACCUCCUCUUACCUAGGCUCAGUUCUCCUAGGUCUUUUUAGAGCAGUUUAUGCCCUACACCAGGAGAAAGGAGUUGAGGAGGCAGUUUUAGCACCUUCAGCAAGGUCAGAUGUCAGUUACUGAGUAUGAGAUAAGGUUCACAGAGUUGUUGUCCCAUCUUGAUUCUGUUUUGAUUCGCUCUGAGGAGGAGAGAGUGAGGAGAUUCAUUGACAAUCUUCACCCUAGUAUUUGCCUUAUUAUGGCUAUAGAAACUGAGAUCGGGACAUUAUUUCACCAAGUGGUGGAGAUAGCGCGCUGUGUUGAGUGCAUUCGCAAUGAGACUAGGGAGAUAAUGCAUGCUAGGGACUAAGAGAUUCCGAUAUUUUGGUAGCUUCAGUGGUGCCUCGUCUGGAGGUCAAGGUUGAUAUGGGAGAGGCCAUUCUAGCAGGCCAGCUGAUUAUACACCAUCACCCAAUCGAGGAUCUUUUAUGCAUUCCUUAUUUAGUGGACUUCUAGUGCAUAGUUCUCAUCGUGCUCUAUCUAUUCAGGGUUCAUCGGUACCAAGUUCAUUUGGUAGGUAUUCUGGUUCACAUGGUUCGACUCAGGCCCCACAGUCAUUUUCGAUUAAAAGUUUCUUUGAGCGUGGAGAUCUGGGCAUGUUAGGAAAUAUUGCCCCCGUCCUCGCAGGGGUUCAAGGCAAAAGGGAGGACGUACUAUAAUUCAUGUGCCAAUUGCUACACCACGCGUUCAGCCAGCUCGGGGUGGAGGUUAUCUAGGACGUGGUCAUCCUAGAGGGGGAUUAGUCUAGUGAAGGUCAGGCCAGAUGUUAUACGUUCCCAGGGAGGACCAAGGCCAUUCAUUCUUAUGCAGUGAUUACAGGCAUUGUUUCAUAUCAUGUUGUGUUGCCUAAAAAGAACAAAAAAUAAAAUAAUAAACAGUAGAUUUGGGUUGCUUCCCAUAAGCGCCUUAUUUGUAGUCGUGGCACGACAUGCACCACUUUACCACUUUGAUAAUAUAAAUUGUGCCCCCAAUUUUACAUCAAUUGUUCUAUCACGUUCCUGGGGUGAUGGUGUGAAAAUAAAAGAACCAAGCAAUAGAUAUCGUAUUUUGCAUUUCUUGGCCCUUAAGUGAGGUAUGUUGUUUUGUCUUUUUGAUGUGGCAAAUUUUAGAAUGUAAGGGUUUUGUUCUUCAUCUAGACAUCUCUCUAAAGGCUCGAUCUCCAUGUCUCCACCCAAACAUAAUGUAGAAAAAUAUUUAGAAUGAGAACCAACACGCCCCAACUCCAAAACUAUAUUAUUUUUGACAUAUUCAGUUAUAUACCCCCUCAACCUUUGCAUCAGCAACAAGAACAUGAUCUAAUGAUUGGUAUUCAAAUUUUAGCUCCUCAAUUUGGCCUAGAAGAUCUUUUUCAGCUUCACAGAGCUCGUCACUAAAUUGUUGGGUGUUACACGCAUCAAUCUUUGCUCUCAAAUCUGCAUCCAAGUUGAGACAUAGCCAAGCCAAACCUGUCAAUUUUUUGUGCAAGAUCAACUCUCUCCUUAAACCAAUCAUUCAUUAACGUUGUUAGUAAACAACGUCAUUUCGCAUACUCCCUUAAUCAAUAAUGUUCGUCACAAUAUCAACCCUUACUCCCAUAUUCAAAUUCAGAAUUCCAAGAGGUCAGGUCAUGACAAGCCAAAAAAAUACUGGCCAUAAAAGUCUUCUGUCAACCAAGCGUCUUCAUCAAUAAUCUUACCUACGUAUAUUUUGAUCCCUAGAUAUCAUGCUGAGAGAACUUGAAACACACUAAUAGAAAAUAUCAAAUAAUUAUUAAAAAAAUAUAUACAAAAAAAUAAUUGUAAAGAUAAAAGUAAAAGUAUGAUCUAGAAGAAUAGCUAAUUUCUAAGUCAUCGGCAAUGGCGCAAAAACUUGUUGCUCCAAACGCACACGCAAUUAUACACAGUCGACAAGUAAUAAAGUGAUAAGUAGAGUGUCAUUCCUAAGAGUACUUGUGAUUAACUAUCAACUACAUUAAACUAACACAAUUAAUCUAUUCAAGCGAUUUUCUAAAGUGUGAUUAUUUAACUACAACUAAUCGAGAGUAGCAAACUAAGAAAUUAAAGGAAAUAAAUCGGCAAUCUUAUAGAUGAAUUCAAUGGGAGAAAAUAUUCUAGAUUUAUAGGUUAGCUAACAAUCCCGUUGAGUCUUCCAAUUAAGUUGUCUAAUUAAAUUAUCUAGUUUAUUGUUGACAUGGUUAAUAUUCCUCGUAGUAUUCUCCCGAAGUACUACUAGCCUAUUCAAACUAACCUAACGCCUAUAUUCCUAUGGAAUCAGGAUUAACAAGAACGCGUUAAUGUUUCCCGUAUAGUAACCAAGCAAGGCGAUUAGGUAUAUCCCUAUCCUAACCGCAAAUCUGUUCCCCGUAAUUCAGGUUUAAGAUCUUGCUCUACUCAAUCCUAUUUGCAAUCUAAAAUUCCAUCUCCCGAGUUCAACCCUAUAUUCAUAGAUACUAUUUAAUUGGUGAUCAAGUAAUAAAAUAAUUAAGCGCUGUCACACCUCCUUUUUCCUGAGGGGGUAUAAGGGAAUUUUUUCAAUUUAAGUGACAUUAAUCGAAAUGGGAUUAUUCUAUUUAAUUUUAGAGUUGCCACUUGGGAUAAUUUAAGGUGUCCCACGUCAUCGGUUUAUUUUAAAUCCCAAAUCAAGGAAAUUAACUCUAUUUUUGAUCCGCGAACAUAGAAGAUCGGGUAAAGAAUUUUGUUAACCCGGGAGAAGGUGUUAGGCAUUUCCGGGUUCCGUGGUUUUAGCACGGUCGCUCAACUAUUAUUAAUUGGCCUAAUUAUCUGAUUAUUUACAUGUUUUAAACUUAUUGUGCAUUUUUAACUUUUAUAACCACUUUUAUUUAUUUAUGGAUUUAUUUUUGAAAUAAGCCAUGAUUGUCGUAUACUUAUUGUUUUGGUACAUAUUGCAAACCGCGUCACAUGAAAUGCACCAUCGAUUUACAACAUGUUCAGCAUUGUUAUUGUUUGAAGUUGUGGUCGAGUCACAUAAAAUGCACACUCGAAUUGGGAAUUAUGUAUCAUGACUAUGUCGCGGGAACCGUACCCAUAGUCAUGAUGUUUAUUAUUAAUCGCGCCUAGCGCACACUACGAAUAUUAAUUCUUAUCGUAAUUUUGAAAUCAACUAUGAGACCAUGAGUUAUGGAUAUGCAAAGAUUGAAGAUUAAUAAGUAUUUUAUCCAUUUGGAAUUAUUUUGGCGAAAUCAAUAUGUGAACUCUCAAACCUACCGAUGAAUACUCUUUUUUCAUAAAUCUCAGUAAAAUUAAGAGUCAAAGGAAUUAAAAUAGUGCACUUUAAAACUAAUUUUAUCACUUGUCUCAAAGGUUCCAUUACUUAAUUUUGACUUUGCUACACUAAAAUAUGUCCAUUGUAAUCAUCCUCCCCAUAAAGCGAGGUUUUUAAAUUGUGCUCUUGAAUCUCGUGAUUUUCUUCUCCCAAACAAUGAAUUUGAAAGAGUAUCCCUUGCUUUACGCUAAAGAUCAGUAUCUUCUAUAUAUAAACCUUUCCUAAUAUUAGAGGAAACUAAAAGCUGCAGCUAACUUCAUUCCAACAACCUUUACACGUUAAUAACUUCAGCUACUGAAGUCAAGAUACCAAAAUCAAAACCAGCCAAAAAUGCAAAAAGUACCUUUAAAAAAUAACACUAACACCACAUACCAAAACAAAGAAAACUACUAAAUCUUGAAACUCAAAUAUACCAGCAAAGGCCAAAUAUAUGACAAAUCAAAUAAACCAAAGUAAAGGGGGAGAAAAUAUUACCUCCAAUAGAAAUAUAAGGUAUUCUAUGAGGACCACCAAUAUAAACUGUGUACUGAAUUUGAGUUAAAUUACAACCAACUUGGAGAUUAAUCAACUCUCGACCAAAGAAUUUACCAAUGGCCUCGUCGACUGAACUUUGGAGCUCUUAGCUAAAGAGAACGGCUUGUACAAGCUCCAGUACAUAACAGCAGCAAACAAAAGCUCUUCAAUCUCAAUAGUUAUGCGCAUGAGCUAAUUUAUUUGGACGCUAUAAGAGAACUGAUUUGAGAGAAAAUAAGUGUUGUGUAGGAUCUUGGUGGAAAUGCUUGAAUCGCGCUGGUUUUUCAGUCGUUGAAGUCCAUUCGUACUUUUAUUCUCUGGACCUCGAAUGGAUUUGUUUAAAUGACCACUAGAUCUUCAUGAUCCUUGAGUGUAAAGGUCGAAUCAUGCCUUAUCUGAUGCUUUGAUAUCACUGAGAUCUCUGCAGUUUUGAAAGAUGUGGCGAGGUGGAGAAAAGAGGGAAAAGAGGGGAGUAUGGCUGGAGCGAGGUCGCUGGCAUUGGAGAUGGGGGGUCGCUGGCGUUGGAGAUGGAGCAGAUUUUUUAGAGGGUGAGAGUGAGGGGUGCGCUGUUUCUAUCAAGAAGGGGGGGUCCCAUUUUUUUGUGUCUUAGCAGCUAGGUUUUUAAUUUUUGGGGAGGGUUUUAUCUGAUCCCUAGUCU